RNAcentral lists this long non-coding RNA (1261 nucleotides) under Panax ginseng (ginseng). RNAcentral's name for it is "long non-coding RNA (PGIN_LNC004284)". The record is from RNAcentral. Lineage: Eukaryota; Viridiplantae; Streptophyta; Magnoliopsida; Apiales; Araliaceae.
GGAAAAGUGUUACUAACGCUGAGGCAAUUCCAGAGGCAAUUCAGAGCCUUAUAAACAAGGGUUAUUUAGUAUCUCCUUUCUCCAUCAAGAAAGCUAGCAAUGCUGAAGAGAAGCAUUUGACCAGAGCCCAUGAAUACGCUGACCACAAGGAUAAACCAGCCCAUGAAUCAGAAAAUUUACCAGUUCUCCCCUACGCUGACCACAAUGAUAAACCAACCCAUGAAUCAAAAAAUUUACCAGCCCAUGAAUCAGAAAAUUUACGCUUUUUCCCCUACACUGACCACAAGGAUAAACCAACCCAUGAAUCAGGAAAUUUACCAGCCCAUGAAUCAGAAAUUUUACACUUUUUUGUCUACGAUGAUCACAAGGAUAAAUCAGCCCAUAAAUCAAAAAAUUUACCAGCCCAUGAAUCAGGACCUGAAAAUUUACGCAUUUUUCUCUACGCUGAUCACAAGGAUAGACCAGCCCAUAAAUCAAAAAAUUUACGCUGAAGAUUAGUCGAAAAAUAACGUUCAACUAAAGACCCUUAAUCAGAAAGGCUUAUUGUCUAAGCAUAUAUAUUCCAUGUGUGAUGAAUCUAGUUUGAAUACAGGCGAGUCAUUGGAGGCCAGAUGCUACAAAAUAAUAACGACUGGCGUGAUACAAUUAGGCCUAUGGUUGUGAUUGUAAUCUAAAUUAAAAGUGAUUUGUGUCUUUAAUGUGUCUUAAUAUGUAUUUUGUGAUUGUGAUGAUAAAAACUAUCAGUUUGUUGUUUCUCUACCUAGAGGCUAGAUGAUUAGCCAAUUUACGUGCAUAAUUAUUUAGAAAUAAUUAGUCUGUUAUUCUUUGGGACUAACAACAGUAAAAUAGACCUACAAAGGAGAAAGGGUGUUUAAACACAUGAACUUGGGUCAAUUAUCACGUAGUAGUUUGUGAACUUGGGUCAAUUAUUGUAAUCUGUAAUAUAUAGUAUUAUUUAAUAUAUAUAUAUAUAAUAAAAUAGAACAUAAUUUUAUAUAUAUAUAACACAGAAAUUAUUAAUAAAUAAAUUCGAAUCCUUUGAAUUCACAAAGUCUUCUUAAAGUAAAUUUAUUCCCUCACUGGUGCUAAGGAUUAAUUGAAUAAUUGAUUUCUAAGAUAAAACGAAUUUUCAGUUCUUAAUUAGAAGCACUUCAAAAUUAAGAACACUUUGAACUAAUAUUUAUGUUAUGUACUAAAAUUACAUGAAUAAUGAUGAUAACGCAUGCAUAAAGUAAACUUGAAAAAGGAAGAAAAUUCUUAC